Meriones unguiculatus (Mongolian gerbil) is the source of this 1973-nucleotide long non-coding RNA. RefSeq lists it as uncharacterized. NCBI's taxonomy places the organism in Eukaryota, Metazoa, Chordata, Mammalia, Rodentia, Muridae. The transcript is spliced from 3 exons. The record is from RefSeq and is a predicted model, not a curated record.
AGUCACUAGGCCCAAAGGCGUCUGCCAACCCUCUCCUUUUGACCAAGCCUCCAGCUUGAAAAGGAGCCGUGUCAGUGUAGAGGUACACAGAGAAAACCUCCUCCUCUGGAGGUGGGGGUUCUCCCACUGGACCCUGGGAAAGUAGACACCCCUGUCCGCUGGCCAGGGAGAUUAAAAUUCCCUUAGUGGAUUUCAGGGAGCCACAAAGGUUAGUCACAGCCACCACUGAGCUCUAUGGCAGGUCCUGUGACCUGCCCCUCAGUCUUCCUGUUGCAGCCAGCUCUGACACACCUGUGACAGUGCUGCCUGCACACACACACACAGCUCCAGUAAAUAAGGCUUUUGUGCCACUGCGCCUCAGGCUGGAGGUACCCUGUGGGAAGUCAGAGCAAGGGUGAACAACCAGCCUUUUGUUUCUUAGCUUUUCCUGCCCCUGGUUCUCUGCUGGAGGGAAGAGAGAACGAGAGCCGGAAAGAGACUUCAUCUCCUGGGCCCCAUCUCAACAUGUUCUCUCCCCAACCCUGACCUGGGGCUCGUAGGGAGCCACUGCCCUCGCUCAGGGAAGUCCGCAUCUGGAAAUAGCAGCAGCCCAGACUAGUGAAUCCCAAGAUCAUCCCGUGGGAGUGGGAAGCAGCCAGGCAUGCAAUGGGGUCUUCUCCAGGGAGCUGCAGAGCCUGCACACAUGCCAGCAGCGCAGGGACUGAAGGAGUGCAUCUGAAACAACUGCAUCCUGGGACAGUAUAUAUGGACAUUCUCCUGCGAUCACCUAAGUGCUGCAGGAUGCUUGCAAGCUUGGUGCGCAAGCCUCUGUACAACUGUCAUCCACACAGGAAAGUCCAAUCCGACGCCCUCAUCCUGAAAGGUACCUGUCGCCUGCAGCAGGCCUGCCGCUGAGGUGGGGGAUCCCUUCGUGGCCAGGCUGCCUCCCAGCAGCCUGGACAGCUCCUGCCCUUGGAUCUAGGUUCCCGCAGCAGCAAGGACUUAGUGGCUUCUACUGGGAAUCCAGGGGGUCAUUCCUCAAUAACAGAAGCACGUUAAUUGUCAUAAACGCUCAAUCAGUAAAAUGCUCAACUUACAAAAGCGUGGAGAGUUUGGUCCCCAGCACACAUAUAGAAAGAGUGUAUGGUGGGCAGUCCUCCUCAUCCCAGGGGCGGGAUGGAGGCAGACAAAUCCCUGAGGCUAACUGGCCAGCCUGCCUCGCCUCUCUUAAUAACUCUGUCAAAAUACAAGGCGGGGCCGAGAGGUGGCUCAGCAGGUAAAGGUGUUUGCUACAGGACUGGCGACCCAGCUCCAUCCCCAGGUCCCACAGGUGAAAGCUGAGGACCAGCUCUUGAAAGUUGACCUCUGACCUAUAUACACACACAAUCCAUCCAUCAACAAGUGUAAAAAAAAAUGUUGAAAAAGCAAGGUGGACCAGUCCUGAAGAGAGCUGAAGCUGACCUCUGACCUCCAUACACACACUCCAUCUGCACACACACACACAGCGAGCAGGAAACACAGCCUUGUCUAGGAAGGUCUUCACUGUGUGUGGGUCUGUGCACAUGUACAUAUUGUAUACAUGUGGAGGUCAUAGGUGGAUCGUGUGUUUCCCUUGAUUGCUUUCCAGGACAGGGUUUGUUGUUGUUUUGUUUUUUUGACAGGGUUUCUCACCACAGAACUUGGGGUUUCCAGUUUGGCUUGGCUGGCUGGUCAGUGAGUUUGUGGGAUCCACGGCCUCCCAGGUGCUAGGACUAGAGAUGCCCAUGGUUGGGCCUUGCUUUUACAUGGGUCUGAACUCUGGCCCUCAUGCUGAUAUAACAAGAAUUUUACCCAAAAAGUUAUUUCCCUAGCUCCCUUUUACAUUUUACCUAUAUGCGGUGUACGUGUGUGUGUGUGUAUGUGUGUGUGUGCAUGUGUGUGUCUGUUAGUGUGUUCUGUGCAUUUGUAAGUCAGAGAGAGAAGUUGAUGUCUUCCUGUAUUACUUCCCUACUUCA